CCCACGAUAGUUACAAGACGGUACGCCUGCCCAGUGACCAUGUUGUUCAACGGCCGCGGUAUUUCUGACCGUGCAAAGGUAGCGUAAUCACUUGUCUUUUAAAUAAAGACUAGUAUGAAUGGCAUCACGAGAGUUCAACUGUCUCCCCCACCCAAUCAGUGAAACUGAUCUCCCCGUGCAGAAGCGGGGAUAAAAUCAUAAGACGAGAAGACCCCAUGGAGCUUUAAACUAAAGGCACUAGCCCUCAAAUUACCCCUAAGGGUAAAACAUUUAACUGGCUAAAGUGACCCGCCGUUUUCGGUUGGGGCGACCACGGAGAAAAACAGAUCCUCCGAGAUGAAAGGGAUAACCCUUAGCCAAGACCAACAAUUCUAAGCAAUAGAACGUCUAACACACUGAUCCAAUCAAAUUGAUCAACGAACCAAGUUACCCUGGGGAUAACAGCGCAAUCUAUUUUCAGAGUUCAUAUCGACAAAUAGGUUUACGACCUCGAUGUUGGAUCAGGGCCUCCUAGCGGUGCAGCCGCUGCUAAGGGGUUCGUUUGUUCAACGAUUAAAGCCCUACGUG
RNAcentral lists this ribosomal RNA (567 nucleotides) under Bombina bombina (fire-bellied toad). RNAcentral describes it as "partial 16S ribosomal RNA". It matches the Rfam family "Bacterial large subunit ribosomal RNA", at positions 1833 to 2602 of the family's 2925-position model. The record is from RNAcentral. Lineage: Eukaryota; Metazoa; Chordata; Amphibia; Anura; Bombinatoridae.